Molecule: long non-coding RNA, 2135 nt
Organism: Manis javanica (Malayan pangolin)
Lineage: Eukaryota; Metazoa; Chordata; Mammalia; Pholidota; Manidae
Source: RefSeq, a predicted model, not a curated record
CGGGGAUGAGAGGUGGAAGCUCAUGGGAGGAGCAUGUCUCCUCGUCGGGGACGGAGCGGCCGCACACGAGGUCCGGUGCGGCGGGAGGCGGCCGGGACUCGGAGCUGGGCCAGCGUGAUUUUGACACGAUGAUGGUGAUGGCGGAAGUGACCCCAAGGACCAAGCAGAUCCCGGAGACGAGAACAUCAGCCUCGACUGGGGUCUCAGCCCCGGACCAGUGUCCCUCAGGCAAAUGGAUGAACCCUUCAGAACCCCAGCUGUAGAGAAUAAGGAAGUGGGAUCCCCUCCAGCACUAACAACCCAGGAGUGUAAGGUUAGGAGCAUCUUGCUGUUAAUUCAAGGAGGAGGAGGGGAGGGAAUCACUUGUUAACACCGAUUGCAGCCCCUGCACCAGGAUUCCUGCCCCCUGCACAGAGAACUCAGAAGUCCUCAGAGAGAGAGGGUGGUCAGGGCCUCCUUCUGCAGAAGGGAAGCUGGACAAACCUGCCAAGGUUUGAGAAAGCCACUCUUCCAGCUAUGGAGAGAGUGGGCAGAAGUUUCCAGGCUUCAGGACAGACACCAGAAAGGCCGGGGCACCAUCACCUGCAGAGCAGUCAACAGAGGACCACACGUGAGCCAUGUUCUUCCCAUCACAGGAAGCCAGGAGGUAUUUUAAAUAUUUUAGUAAAUUAUUGAUCGCCCGUUUGGAUACUUAAUCAACCGCCAAGCAAGUUGUUAGGGGCCUCCUCUCUCUCCCAUAUUCAUACGUAAUUAAGUAUGAAACAUCUCAGGAACGGACCCUUUUACCAGCGCAUUAGGCUGAAUCAAAGCGGAACAAAACGCAGGUUGUUUGAGCAGCCUCGACCGCAGCCCAUUUGAGGGAAGAAUUGCCUUCCCAUUCUACAACCGUGUCAGGUGGACGGUGCAUUUUAAUCACGGACAGUGGACUGCCAGCACCAGAAGCUGCUAACCCUGGAACCUCACCUAGAACCUGGGAGCAGAGGGCAAACACCAGGCUUUCAGGCUCCCAGGGAAGCCCAAGCAGGUGGUGCAGCGGAAGCAUCUGAGGAUCUGUGUCUCAGGAGCUCUCAUUUAGCAGCCCCCUCCUCCUCCCGACACCCCUGUCCAGCUCCACACCCUCUCCUCCAACUCUUGGUAAGCCUCGGGAAGGACCAAUGAAGGCACACCAGAUUCCUGACGAAGAAAUGAUCUAGUCCUCUUGAUGCUGGGGUUUUUUUUUUUUUUUUAAUGUGUUGCUUUAUUUUUCCUAAUUACAAAUACACACUUAGUUUGAAAUCUUGGAUUCUUUAGGAAAAGUCUACAUGAGAAAACAACCUUAUGCAUAAUUCUACCACUCUACAUUUUGGUUAUUUGCACACACACUUUCUUUUACAAAAUUGGAAUCAUACUACCUGGUGACCUACGUUUUUCAUAGUACAGCCUAAAUACCUUUCCCUGACAUAAAACAGUUUUCUAAAAAAGUCAGUGGCUUUAUGUAAUUUCUGGAAUCAUCAACUGUUGACCAUCUAGGUUUUUCUACUUUAAACAAUCAGCAACAGACAUCCUAACUGCAAAUAUCUGUAUGUAAAGUAAAUGUAGUCCCUGCGAUUGACAUUUGUUCACCAUUUGGCUUCGAAUCACUUUGGUCUGGGGAUAACUCUUGGGAGGCAGUGGCAGGUGGAGGUGGAGAGAGCACAGGCUGUGGAGGACAGACGUGCUCAAGUCCCAGCUGCCCCACAGUCCAGUGAUCCCAUUAGAGAUGUUCGGCUGCAACUAACAAUCACAUAAGAGGCUAAGGGUAGUUUAGAGAGAAGGACUUCUUGGUCUCACACGGUAAGUGGUGUGGAGAUGCAUAAUAAGGGGCUGCAGCAGUAGCUAUCAGGGACCUCACACCCCCUCAUCAGACUGCCCACCACCCUUAGGGAAGCCUCGUUUGAGUCACUUCAUGUUUGCAAGAUGGCUGGGCCCCAACUCUGCGUGUCAGGCAGGAAGAAGGAGGAAGGAGCAAGGUGGCACCUGCGGGCUUCUGCUCACACCUCAUUGGCCAGAACGAUGUCACGUGACUCCUUCUCUCUGCUGCGGAGUCUGAGAAAUUUUUAUCUUUCUUUUCCAUCCUCUCUUAGUACUGCUGUCCAGGGGAAAUAUAAAGUGCCAUA